Molecule: ribosomal RNA, 158 nt
Filed under: Neisseria sp.
Lineage: Bacteria; Pseudomonadati; Pseudomonadota; Betaproteobacteria; Neisseriales; Neisseriaceae
Description: partial 16S ribosomal RNA
Rfam family: Bacterial small subunit ribosomal RNA
Source: RNAcentral
GCCUUGUACACACCGCCCGUCACACCAUGGGAGUGGGUUGUACCAGAAGUAGAUAGCUUAACCUUCGGGAGGGCGUUUACCACGGUAUGAUUCAUGACUGGGGUGAAGUCGUAACAAGGUAACCGUAGGGGAACCUGCGGUUGGAUCACCUCCUUACC